AUAUUACUCCCUCGGUCUGGAAAUAUUCGUCGGAGGAAUGGAUGCAUCUAGAUGCGUCCUAGUUUCAGAUACAUUCAUUUUUAUUCAUUUUGGCGACAAGUAGUUUCGGACGGAUGGAGUACAUU
RNAcentral lists this microRNA precursor (125 nucleotides) under Hordeum vulgare. RNAcentral describes it as "microRNA MIR1122". It matches the Rfam family "MIR1120/MIR1122 microRNA precursor family". The record is from RNAcentral. Lineage: Eukaryota; Viridiplantae; Streptophyta; Magnoliopsida; Poales; Poaceae.